Molecule: ribosomal RNA, 406 nt
Filed under: uncultured bacterium
Lineage: Bacteria
Description: partial 16S ribosomal RNA
Rfam family: Bacterial small subunit ribosomal RNA
Source: RNAcentral
AUUGAACGCUGGCGGCACGCCUAACACAUGCAAGUCGAACGAGUGGCGGACGGGUGAGUAAUGUCUGGGAAACUGCCUGAUGGAGGGGGAUAACUACUGGAAACGGUAGCUAAUACCGCAUACCAUCGGAUGUGCCCAGCUGGGAUGAGCUAGUGGGUGGGGUAAAGUCUCACCUAGGCGACGAUCCCUAGCUGGUCUGAGAGGAUGACCCGCAACACUGGAACGGAGACACGGUCCAUACUCCUACGGGAGGCAUCAGUGGGAAAGAUUGCACAAUUGGCGCAAGCCUGAGGCAGCCAUGCCGCGUGUAUGAAGAAGGCCUGCGGGUUGUAAAGGACUUUCAGCGGGGAGGCGUUACCCGCAGAAGAAGCACCGGCUAACUCCGUGCCAGCAGCCGCGGUAAUUC